Molecule: long non-coding RNA, 999 nt
Organism: Cucumis melo (muskmelon)
Lineage: Eukaryota; Viridiplantae; Streptophyta; Magnoliopsida; Cucurbitales; Cucurbitaceae
Exons: 4
Source: RefSeq, a predicted model, not a curated record
UUUUUUAAAAACCCUAAGAACCCAUCCCCUCCUCUUCGUGCAGCACCCCCCAUCUUCUUCUUCCUCAACCAAUUGCCGCCACCCCACUCCAUCUCCUCGCUUCUCCACCGAACGUCGCCAUUAGCCCCUCUUCUCCUACGACCACCCACCCACAGCCGUCCGUCGCAUUUCCGCCUGUAAGCCUCAGUCUCGUCCGCCUCUGCCUUCAGCUGAACGCCGUCAGCCACUCUGCGCGGUGUCGUCCGAUUUUGGAGCGUCUGCACAACUUCGACGUCGUCGCAUCUCAGGUAACCACCCGAUCCCUUUUUUCUUCUUCAUUCCGCCAAUUCGUAGCUGUCGUCCUCUCUUCGUGCACAGUCACACUUGGUCAGUCGUGUUCGAACCUUAAAUCUGAGUCGCCACCUCUGCCUUGCAUGCUGUGAGUCAUUGUUUCUUCAAGGGACCAAUUGGAGAUUUUUACAGCAGAUUGUGGACCUUGUAGUCAAGGAGCGAUUUGGUUUCAACUUAAUUUGGCAAGCUGAAUUGGAAAAUUUAGUUGUUGAUAGUUAAUAAUUUUAUUAACCCCUUAUCUAUGUUUAGGACUGAUUCAUCGACAAAAUUUACCUUUCAACUAAGUAAAGUAGCUAAAUCUAAGGAUCACUAGACUGAUUGAUGUGUGCAUUCUACGGGACCACUAGAUUGUUAUGUGCAAGGUAAGGGUAAUGUACGAGGCAGACCGGCGAGAGGCAAGAAGGAUCGUGAAUGCCAUAUGAGGAUGUCUACUUUAAUGCUUCCGCUAGACGUUUCUUUUGUUUUGUUUCGUUUUUUAUCUUAAAUUGUUUUGAGGAUGGGAGUGAGUCUAAUUUUAGGAUAUUUAAUUGUUUUGUUUGAUAGUUUUUCCUAGGCGGUUAUAUGAACAUUUGAAUUUUGUUUUAAACAGGGUCCGAAAACAGUUUUUCUAUAGUUCGGAUGUUAUUUGAAUUUGAACAGAAUUUAUGAAACUACUUUUCAUUUUUGUGA